Nerophis lumbriciformis (worm pipefish) is the source of this 72-nucleotide small nucleolar RNA. RefSeq annotates it as small nucleolar RNA SNORD2. Lineage: Eukaryota; Metazoa; Chordata; Actinopteri; Syngnathiformes; Syngnathidae. The record is from RefSeq and is a predicted model, not a curated record.
GAGUGAAAUGAUGCUUUACCAUCUUUCGGGACUUACCCAAUAAUGGGGAUAACCUUUACUCACUGAUCGCUC